Molecule: ribosomal RNA, 888 nt
Filed under: uncultured bacterium
Lineage: Bacteria
Description: bacterial SSU rRNA
Rfam family: Bacterial small subunit ribosomal RNA
Source: RNAcentral
AGAGUUUGAUCAUGGCUCAGGAUUAACGCUGGCGGCGUGCUAAUGCAUGCAAGUCGUACGGUCUUGGUCUUCGGACCAAGAUAGUGGCAAACGGGUGAGUAACGCGUAAGUAACAUACCCAUAAGUAUGGGAUAACCCUAAGAAAUUAGAGCUAAUACCGUAUGUGGUGAUGAGGUUAAGACCACAUCACUAAAGCCGUAAGGCGCUUGGGGAGGGGCUUGCGUCUGAUUAGCUAGUUGGUAGGGUAAGGGCUUACCAAGGCGAUGAUCGGUAGCUGGUCUGAGAGGGCGAUCAGCCACACUGGGACUGAGACACGGCCCAGACUCCUACGGGAGGCAGCAGCAAGGAAUUUUGCGCAAUGGGCGAAAGCCUGACGCAGCAACGUCGCGUGGGGGAAGAAUGCCUUCGGGUUGUAAACCCCUUUUCUCAGGGAAGAAUAAUGACGGUACCUGAGGAAUAAGUCUCGGCUAACUACGUGCCAGCAGCCGCGGUAAUACGUAGGAGGCAAGCGUUAUCCGGAAUUACUGGGCGUAAAGCGCGCGCGGGCGGCUUUUUAAGUCGGGUGUAAAAUCUUCUCGCUUAACGAGAAGGGAUCGCUCGAUACUGUUGAGCUAGAGAGCAGCAGAGGGGGGUGGAAUUCCCGGUGGAGUGGUGAUAUGCGUAGAUAUCGGGAAGAACACCAGCGGCGAAGGCGGCCUCCUGGGCUGUUUCUGACGCUGAGGCGCGAAAGCGUGGGGAGCGAACAGGAUUAGAUACCCUGGUAGUCCACGCCGUAAACGAUGGACACUAGGUAUAGGGAGUAUCGACCCUCUCUAUGCCGUAGUUAACGCGUUAAGUGUCCCGCCUGGGGACUACGGCCGCAAGGCUAAAACUCAAAUGAAUUGACGG